UUUCCGUAGGUGAACCUGCGGAAGGAUCAUUAAAGAUAUAGUCCCCCGUCCAACUGGGCUGGAGUUUCCUAUACCGCCCCUUGUUUAUUGCACCUUUGUUGCCCUGGCAGGCCUGCCCUCGGGCUGCUGCCUCCGGCCGGCUCGCGUCUGCUAGAGGACCUAAACUCUGUUUAUAUAUGAAGUCUGAGUAUGAGAAAAUAGUUCAAACUUUCAACAACGGAUCUCUUGGUUCUG
RNAcentral lists this unclassified non-coding RNA (234 nucleotides) under plant metagenome. RNAcentral describes it as "partial contains small subunit ribosomal RNA, internal transcribed spacer 1, and 5.8S ribosomal RNA". The record is from RNAcentral.